This 19-nucleotide unclassified non-coding RNA is filed under the name Dictyostelium discoideum. Lineage: Eukaryota; Evosea; Eumycetozoa; Dictyosteliales; Dictyosteliaceae. The record is from RNAcentral.
GACGGCUCAUUACAACAGU